AGAAUAAACGUUGGCGGUGUGCCUAACACAUGCAAGUCGAGCGAGAAAGCUUCUUCGGAAGUGAGUACAGCGGCGGACGGGUGAGUAACGCGUGGGAAUCUGCCCUUUAGUGAGGAAUACCUCCGAGAAAUCGGGGUUAAUACUGCAUAAGUCCCUUCGGGGAGAAAGAUGGCCUCUUGCUGUCGCUAAAGGAUGAGCCUGCGUACUAUUAGCUAGUUGGUAGGGUAAUGGCCUACCAAGGCGAUGAUGGUUA
Molecule: ribosomal RNA, 253 nt
Filed under: uncultured bacterium
Lineage: Bacteria
Description: partial small subunit ribosomal RNA
Rfam family: Bacterial small subunit ribosomal RNA
Source: RNAcentral